GCCUCUAUGGCGCAGUGGUAACGCAUCUGACUUGUAUCUCGCCCAUUUGAUGUGAAGACAAUCAGAAGAUCGCUAGUUCAAUUCUGGCUGGAGGCA
Molecule: non-coding RNA, 96 nt
Organism: Polychaeton citri CBS 116435
Lineage: Eukaryota; Fungi; Ascomycota; Dothideomycetes; Capnodiales; Capnodiaceae
Source: the annotation of a GenBank genome assembly